RNAcentral lists this ribosomal RNA (449 nucleotides) under uncultured bacterium. RNAcentral describes it as "partial 16S ribosomal RNA". It matches the Rfam family "Bacterial small subunit ribosomal RNA", at positions 354 to 796 of the family's 1533-position model. The record is from RNAcentral.
GUCGAGAAUCUUUCACAAUGGGGGCAACCCUGAUGGAGCGACGCCGCGUGGAGGAUAAGGUCUUCGGAUUGUAAACUCCUGUCAUGCGUGAACAAGGUUGCUUGGUUAAUACCUGGGCAAAUUGAUGGUAACGCAAGAGGAAGAGACGGCUAACUCUGUGCCAGCAGCCGCGGUAAUACAGAGGUCUCAAGCGUUGUUCGGAAUCACUGGGCGUAAAGGGUGCGUAGGUGGCGUGGUAAGUCAGAUGUGAAAGCCAGGGGCUCAACCUCGGAACUGCAUCCGAUACUGCCAUGCUAGAGUACUGGAGAGGUGACUAGAAUUCUCGGUGUAGCAGUGAAAUGCGUAGAUAUCGAGAGGAAUACCAAAGGCGUAGGCAGGUCACUGGACAGUUACUGACACUGAGGCACGAAGGCCAGGGGAGCGAACGGGAUUAGAUACCCUUGUAGUCC